GGGGAUGUUUUGGCUUCGACGGGUGUAUCGCGCUUCAGGUCGCGUGUCGAGCGUCUUGGUGAGCUCGUAAAUCCUGCCUUGAAACACGUAAAUGCGAAUGAUUAUUCAUACGCGAUGGCCGCUUAAUUAGUCCUAGUAACUAGUUAAGCCUUGCUAUCUGUCGACCUGAGUGCCUGUCUAUCGGCGCUCAGACUCGGCAUCGACUGAUGAUAGAAUAGCAGACAAAUUGCCGACUGAGGUUUGUCUGUAAAAUUUUCCAGUCUUGGUUGCAGCGGUGCCAUGUAGACCGGCUUUCCUCUGCAGCGACACUCGAAUAGGUCGACUACACAUGUAGACGCCUGCUUGUUCGGACAUUCGGACCCGGGUUCGAUUCCCGGCAUCUCCACUA
RNAcentral lists this transfer-messenger RNA (388 nucleotides) under Rhodothermales. RNAcentral's name for it is "JABDKO01 sp013002165 Standard tmRNA". It matches the Rfam family "transfer-messenger RNA". Rfam says of the family: Bacterial tmRNA, also known as 10Sa RNA or SsrA, is named for its dual tRNA and mRNA-like properties. Its role is to liberate the mRNA from a stalled ribosome. To accomplish this part of the tmRNA is used as a reading frame that ends in a translation stop signal. The record is from RNAcentral. RNAcentral also lists the same sequence under 1 other name. Lineage: Bacteria; Pseudomonadati; Rhodothermota; Rhodothermia.